Molecule: small nuclear RNA, 107 nt
Filed under: Tupaia belangeri chinensis (Chinese tree shrew)
Lineage: Eukaryota; Metazoa; Chordata; Mammalia; Scandentia; Tupaiidae
Source: RNAcentral
GUGCUCGCUUUGGCAGCACAUAUCCUAAAACUGGAAUGAUACAGAGAAAAUUAGCUUGGCCCCUGUGCAAGGAUGACACGCAAAUUCAUGAAGCGUUCCAUGAUUUU